UCGGCCUCGUGGAUGGACCAG
Molecule: microRNA, 21 nt
Filed under: Oryza sativa (Asian cultivated rice)
Lineage: Eukaryota; Viridiplantae; Streptophyta; Magnoliopsida; Poales; Poaceae
Also listed under: 1 other name
Description: osa-miR820a
Gene: osa-miR820a
Source: miRBase by way of RNAcentral